GACACGGUUGGAUUCUGGAAGAAAAUAGUUUGGCGAAAGUGCAACGCCGGGUGCUUCCCAAAUGCUACAGCUACGUAAACAUAAGAAUCUAACUACUGCAGGUCACCAGCUCGCACAAGGCUCGCCUUCCGCUCCAGCACCGUAACAAGGCCGCCGCCGCCGCGUCGUACAACAGAAAACAUCGUCAGCAUAAUCGUAAUAAUAUAUAUCGUAUGAUAAGGUGCAGCAACAGUCGCAGCAAUUUAUGUAUACCAAUACCAUCAAACGGGGCAGACAACUGCGAUAAAACACCGUGUAGAGUCCUAUUGCUCUCCCCUUCUCUCUCUCACUCUCACUCUCUCACACUCUUUCUCUCACUCUCUCUCACACACACACACUCACACACACUGAAAGGGGUUUAAGACGUCUUCUGUGUCAGCGGGUUACCUGGUGAACCUACCUGUGUAGGGCCGAUGGAAACUGUCAAAAUUAAUUGUAUGGUACUAUCCGAGGUUUGCUCUGCUAUCAAAGGACACAGGCCGAAAUAUGCAACGCCCAGACCGACAAGCGGUCUCUGCUCCCUUUGCAAUUUUGCAAAAAGCACCAUCCAGCGCGCGCAGCAUCGAUAUGACACAAACAUGUAUCACACCGAGGCUUGCUCCUGCAUAAAAGCACUGCAAUACGGGCUCAUGACGACAUACCGGGUGUCACUAGCGCUUUGGGUGGCUGACAGCGGAUCAGGAGAACGGUGGGUGAGACGCAACGUUCGCAUCAAGAGCUUAAAUCGCGUGUGGACGUACUGCGGCCAUCCUGGUUAGGAUGUUCCCGCACAUUCCUGUAUGCAACGCAUGCGCUUCCGUAACUCAAGCCCACACAGAACCUACCGCAUUAAAUACGUUCCCUAGCCCGUGCGCGAAAAUAGGCCCCCCCGCAGUGAAACCUAUGACCUAUGAGAGAUACGCAGGAUAGGUCGUACAAGAGCAAACGAACAUUUG
RNAcentral lists this long non-coding RNA (974 nucleotides) under Volvox carteri. RNAcentral's name for it is "long non-coding RNA (VCAR_LNC000953)". Lineage: Eukaryota; Viridiplantae; Chlorophyta; Chlorophyceae; Chlamydomonadales; Volvocaceae. The record is from RNAcentral.